Molecule: ribosomal RNA, 466 nt
Filed under: Salmonella enterica subsp. enterica serovar Anatum
Lineage: Bacteria; Pseudomonadati; Pseudomonadota; Gammaproteobacteria; Enterobacterales; Enterobacteriaceae
Description: bacterial SSU rRNA
Rfam family: Bacterial small subunit ribosomal RNA
Source: RNAcentral
CCUACGGGUGGCAGCAGUGGGGAAUCUUCCGCAAUGGACGAAAGUCUGACGGAGCAACGCCGCGUGAGUGAUGAAGGUCUUCGGAUUGUAAAACUCUGUUGUCAGGGACGAAUGCACCGAUCUAUAAUACAUUUUGGUGUUGACGGUACCUGACGAGGAAGCUACGGCUAACUACGUGCCAGCAGCCGCGGUAAUACGUAGGUGGCAAGCGUUGUCCGGAUUUACUGGGUGUAAAGGGCGCGUAGGCGGGAUAGCAAGUCAGGAGUGAAAUCUAUGGGCUUAACCCAUAAACUGCUUUUGAAACUGUUAUUCUUGAGUAUCGGAGAGGCAGGCGGAAUUCCUAGUGUAGCGGCGAAAUGCGUAGAUAUUAGGAGGAACACCAGUGGCGAAGGCGGCCUGCUGGACGACAACUGACGCUGAGGCGCGAAAGCGUGGGGAGCAAACAGGAUUAGAUACCCCGGUAGUC